Long non-coding RNA from Mesocricetus auratus (golden hamster), 510 nucleotides. RefSeq lists it as uncharacterized. The transcript has 3 exons. Lineage: Eukaryota; Metazoa; Chordata; Mammalia; Rodentia; Cricetidae. The record is from RefSeq and is a predicted model, not a curated record.
AUUAUCAGGGGUUUCUAUGCCACCCUUUGUAGCGUUAGCGCUGGAAUCAAGCGCAGAGGAUCUACAGGCAGACCUUUUAUAGAGAUCAGGACGGUACCCACGUUUCUCCCCACUUCAGAAGCCCAAUGGAUAGGUGUGAGGCCUCUGUAAGGAGGAGCUGGUGUGACCUGCUUCCCGUCCUGCACACCAGUGAACAGCCUGUGGACCAGCCCCGUACCUGCAAUGUACCCCAUGGAGUCCUCCUCAAAUCCCCAGGACCACUGAGAUGUCACCUGUGACAAGUCAAGUCUCCAGUGUCUAAGAAAAAGCAGGAGGCAUGAGAGAAUCUGCAGGGGGCACUGUACUCCACCAUACCGCACGCCUCUGUGCUCCCUCUGGGCACUCUGGCUUCAAGUGCCUGGAGUCUAACAGAUAGGAGAUACGGACUUCUUAGCAGCGAAAGGAGGCAUCAAUAAAUAGCCACAAAACUGGUUAACAAUGGGACAAAAUUGUAGUCAUUAAAAUUUUUAU